This 253-nucleotide ribosomal RNA is filed under the name uncultured bacterium. RNAcentral describes it as "partial 16S ribosomal RNA". It matches the Rfam family "Bacterial small subunit ribosomal RNA", at positions 524 to 776 of the family's 1533-position model. The record is from RNAcentral.
UACGUAGGGGGCUAGCGUUGUCCGGAAUCAUUGGGCGUAAAGCGCGUGUAGGCGGCUCGGUAAGUCUGCUGUGAAAGUCCAGGGCUCAACCCUGGGAUGCCGGUGGAUACUGUCGAGCUCGAGUCCGGAAGAGGCGAGUGGAAUUCCUGGUGUAGCGGUGAAAUGCGCAGAUAUCAGGAGGAACACCAAUGGCGAAGGCAGCUCGCUGGGACGUGACUGACGCUGAGACGCGAAAGCUAGGGGAGCAAACGGG